RNAcentral lists this non-coding RNA (178 nucleotides) under Megamonas hypermegale. Its description in RNAcentral is "6S / SsrS RNA". It matches the Rfam family "6S / SsrS RNA". From Rfam's summary of the family: E. coli 6S RNA was the first non coding RNA to be sequenced, but its function was unknown until recently. It consists of 184 nucleotides that fold into an extended hairpin structure with a large single-stranded internal bulge. The 6S RNA specifically associates with RNA polymerase holoenzyme containing the sigma70 specificity factor. Lineage: Bacteria; Bacillati; Bacillota; Negativicutes; Selenomonadales; Selenomonadaceae. The record is from RNAcentral.
UGCCUGCAAUGUGCGUAAGUCUUUCAUUAUUGUCUAACCUUACUCUUUUUUAAAACGGGAAUCUGGCAGUGAUUUUAGGGAUGUUGAAUCGUCUUUGAACGAAUAGCAAAACUAAAAUCCAGGAUACCCACCUGCCAUCGCAGGUCUAGGCAUAUUAAAGAUAACGGCAUUAUGGGCA